Long non-coding RNA from Argiope bruennichi, 1934 nucleotides. RefSeq lists it as uncharacterized. The transcript is spliced from 2 exons. The record is from RefSeq and is a predicted model, not a curated record. Lineage: Eukaryota; Metazoa; Arthropoda; Arachnida; Araneae; Araneidae.
AUCAUAUCACACCUCCUUCCCUGAUUUGACGGUAGGAGCAUAUCGGCUCACUUCUGCAUUUGUGUCUAUUCUGAAAUCAGUGUUUUCAUAUUAUAUUUGUCAAAAGUUAUUGACUCUUCUGCAUAUCCAUGACAACCGCCGAGUCUGUAUUUCUUCUAUAUCUCAUUUUAGCAGUCAUUUAUUGGAUGCUUUCGACUGCACGAACCCUCCUGGUGGGAGGAUCCUAAGGAGGGAAAGAUGCAUAUAAUCAACUGAACAUAUACCAGCCAUAUUCAUCAGCCAAAAUUCAUAGAUUCAAAAGAUUUAAAGCGGAAUAAACAUGGAAGGUUUUCCUAUUACAACUCUUGAAGAAAUGGCAAUAAGUAAGAUCAGUACACUUCUUUCAAGCGAUACGGAUAUAAAUCAGUUCAGGAAUAAUUCGUGGCGUUCUGAUAUGAAGUGGAAAAAUUUAUUAAAAAGGAAAAUAUCCGACUUAUUGCUACCUCCUCACUUUCAUAAAAGAAUGAUUGGAAUGGCAAACCGUAUUUAUAUGUUUUUCGAACAGAUAAAUGCAAUCCACGAUGGAAUUAGACCAUCGUUCGGUGGACCGUGUCAGUGCUUGGAUGGAGUUCUGCAAAGCUAUGUUUUUGACACAUCAGACAGUAUGUUUGAUGAAAGAAAAAUCAUUGAAAGUCUUGUUGUAGACGAGCGAAUUGAUGCGGCGUUUAGAUUCAUUCUAGUCAGCUUAUACUUUCUGGAAGAUAGCCGAGUACCUCUCCUGCGGCAUUUGCUCGCGCAGAUACCUACACCAUCCGAUCAGCUGCAAAACGAGGAAAAUUCCAGAACUCUUGUCGUGCGCAUUCGCAAACCCUCCCGUUUCCGACGACGCAGAAGGCAUUAACCCUUUGAAUCGAAGAGGAAACUUGUUGGUCGAUUAGAGUUCAGUAUUGUACAGUGAUUACUUUAUUCUUUCCUUUUGAAGAUUGAUAUAUUUGAAUUUAUAAAUGAAAAAAUUCUUUUGAAUAUUGAUAUGAAUUUAUAAAAUGAGUGGAAUCAGGAAAUGAAACUCUGAUUCAGAUAACUCCAGUUAAUUUUAUUCCAUGCAUGUAUGGUGGCAUUUGUAUUAACAACCUGAAGCGCAGGUUGAAGAUGGUAACAAACAUUACUGCAUUCUUUUCUUUUGAAUUGAUAUGAAUUUACAAAAUAACUAGAAUUAGAAAAUGGAAAUUUGUUCAGAAAACUCCUGUUCAUUAUACCCCAUGCAUGUUUGUUGGCUUUUAUAUAAAUAAUCAGAAACAUCGAUUGAAAAUGGUAUGACUGUCACUUUAUUCUUUUCUUUUGAAGAUUGAUGUGAAUUUAUAAAAUUAAUGAAAUCAGAAAGUGGAACUCUGAUUCAGAUAACUUCAGUUAAUUUUAUUCCAUGCGUGUUUGGUGGCAUUUGUAUCAAGAACUUGGAGCACAGAUUGAAGAUGGUAACAACCAUUAUUUCAUUCUUUUCCUUUGAAUAUUGAUGUGAAUUUAUAAAAUGACUAGAAUCAGGAAAUGGCACUCUGAUUCAAAAAACUCCAGUUCAUUAUACCCCGUACCUGUUUGUUAGCAUUUGUAUAAAGAACCUGAAACACUGAUUGAAAAUCGUAUAACGCUUACUUUAUUCUUUUCUUUUUUAAGACAGAUGUGAAUUUAUAAAAUGACUAGAAUCAGAAAACGGAACUCUGAUUCAGAAAACUCCAGUUCAUUAUUCCCUAUGCAUGUUUGUUGGCAUUGGUGUAUACGAAACCUAGGACACCGAUUGGUGUUCAACAAUUUCAGUAAGAAUUCUAGUUAAUCAUCUUUGUGCUUUAUGAAUAAAGUUUUGUGUCUUUUUUUUUUUUUUUUUUUUUUUGUUAUUUGAAGAAAACAGUAUGGAGGGCAGGAUCCUCUAUGAAAUUUCACAUCGUCAUAUUUCCAUUAAAAAU